RNAcentral lists this ribosomal RNA (293 nucleotides) under Escherichia coli. RNAcentral's name for it is "partial 23S ribosomal RNA". It matches the Rfam family "Bacterial large subunit ribosomal RNA", at positions 1627 to 1900 of the family's 2925-position model. Lineage: Bacteria; Pseudomonadati; Pseudomonadota; Gammaproteobacteria; Enterobacterales; Enterobacteriaceae. The record is from RNAcentral.
UCAGGUAACAUCAAAUCGUACCCCAAACCGACACAGGUGGUCAGGUAGAGAAUACCAAGGCGCUUGAGAGAACUCGGGUGAAGGAACUAGGCAAAAUGGUGCCGUAACUUCGGGAGAAGGCACGCUGAUAUGUAGGUGAAGCGACUUGCUCGUGGAGCUGAAAUCAGUCGAAGAUACCAGCUGGCUGCAACUGUUUAUUAAAAACACAGCACUGUGCAAACACGAAAGUGGACGUAUACGGUGUGACGCCUGCCCGGUGCCGGAAGGUUAAUUGAUGGGGUUAGCGGUAACGC